AUGAGGUGCCAAGGAAGAUCAACAUAUAGGCCUAUACCAAGAUGAAGUUUAUGACCUUCUGAGCUGACUGUGCCUCUGCUUGAGCCCAGUCAUGAAGAGUCUCAAGAAGAGGAACCACCAACUGAAAGUCGGGAUCCUACACCUGGUCAGGAAAGAGAAGAAGAUCAGGGUGCAGCUGAGAUUCAAGUGUCUGACCUGGAAGCUGAUCUCCAGGAAUUGUCUCAGUCAAAGACUGGGAAUGAAUGCAGAGAUGAUCCUGAUGUCAAGGGGAAGAUUCUGCCAAAACUAGAGCAUUUUAAAAUGCCAGACGCAG
Molecule: long non-coding RNA, 313 nt
Filed under: Homo sapiens (human)
Lineage: Eukaryota; Metazoa; Chordata; Mammalia; Primates; Hominidae
Description: non-protein coding lnc-PAGE5-2:1
Source: RNAcentral